UGGAAAUCUAUGAAAUUUUAACACAAGGUUUAUGACCACAAAAGGAAGGUUGGUAUUGAUUUGGGAGUUUUUGGUCCCAACAUUUUAGGAAUUAGGGGCCAAAAAGGGCCCAAAUAAGCAUUUUCUUGGUUUUCGCACUAUAACUUUAGUUUAAGAUAAUAGAAAUCUAUGAAAUUUUGACACAAGGUUUAUGACCACAAAAGAACGGUUGGGAUUGAUUUUGGGAGUUUUGGUUUCAACAGUUUAGGAAUUAGGGGCCAAAAAAGGGCCCAAAUAAGCAUUAUUCUUGGUUUUCGCACAAUAACUUUAGUUUAAGUAAAUAGAAAUCUAUGAAAUUUAAAC
RNAcentral lists this long non-coding RNA (342 nucleotides) under Mytilus galloprovincialis (Mediterranean mussel). The record is from RNAcentral. Lineage: Eukaryota; Metazoa; Mollusca; Bivalvia; Mytilida; Mytilidae.